AGAGUUUGAUCCUGGCUCAGGAUCAACGCUGGCGGCGUGCCUAACGCAUGUAAGUCGCACGCAGGUCCUUCGGGACUUGAGUGGCGAACGGCUGAGGAACACGUACGAACCUGCCCGACCGUGGGGAAUAACGCGCCGAAAGGCGUGCUAAGACCGCGUACGCUCCCGCUGCUUGCAGCGGGAGGAAAGCCGCAAGGCGCGGACGGAGGGGCGUGCGGCCCAUCAGGUCGUUGGUGCGGUAAGGGCGCACCAAGCCGAUGACGGGUAGCUGGUCUGUGAGGACGAUCAGCCAGACUGGGACUGAGACACGGCCCAGACACCUACGGGUGGCAGCAGCGAGGGAUCUUCUACAAUGGGCGCAAGCCCGAUAGAGCAACGCCGCGUGGAGGACGACGGCCUUCGGGUUGUAAACUCCUUUCGGGGGGGAUGACACGGACAGUACCCCCAGAAGCAGCCCCGGCUAACUCUGUGCCAGCCGCCGCGGUAAUAC
RNAcentral lists this ribosomal RNA (490 nucleotides) under uncultured bacterium. Its description in RNAcentral is "bacterial SSU rRNA". It matches the Rfam family "Bacterial small subunit ribosomal RNA", at positions 8 to 526 of the family's 1533-position model. The record is from RNAcentral.